This 484-nucleotide ribosomal RNA is filed under the name uncultured bacterium. Its description in RNAcentral is "partial 16S ribosomal RNA". It matches the Rfam family "Bacterial small subunit ribosomal RNA", at positions 30 to 507 of the family's 1533-position model. The record is from RNAcentral.
AUUGAACGCUGGCGGAAUGCUUUACACAUGCAAGUCGAACGGCAGCACGGGGGCAACCCUGGUGGCGAGUGGCGAACGGGUGAGUAAUACAUCGGAACGUGCCCGGUCGUGGGGGAUAACGUAGCGAAAGUUACGCUAAUACCGCAUACGAUCUGAGGAUGAAAGCGGGGGACCUUCGGGCCUCGCGCGAUCGGAGCGGCCGAUGUCAGAUUAGGUAGUUGGUGGGGUAAAGGCCUACCAAGCCGACGAUCUGUAGCUGGUCUGAGAGGACGACCAGCCACACUGGGACUGAGACACGGCCCAGACUCCUACGGGAGGCAGCAGUGGGGAAUUUUGGACAAUGGGGGCAAGCCUGAUCCAGCCAUUCCGCGUGCAGGACGAAGGCCUUCGGGUUGUAAAAUGCUUUUGUAUGGAACGAAAAGGCUCUGGCUAAUACCUGGGGAUCAUGACGGUACCGUAAGAAUAAGCACCGGCUAACUACGUG